Molecule: long non-coding RNA, 1245 nt
Organism: Triplophysa rosa
Lineage: Eukaryota; Metazoa; Chordata; Actinopteri; Cypriniformes; Nemacheilidae
Exons: 5
Source: RefSeq, a predicted model, not a curated record
AUAUACAUACACAUACACAUACACAUACACAUAAACACACACAUGCAAUGUAUGUUCUGAUUCUUGUCUUUCUCACAACCAACAACGAAUUAUCUUAAACAACCAAUAGGAUAUAAGCUUAUUGCAAGCCCAUAAUGAUCGAUAUACGUCAUCCUCAUUGUAUCAGAGUUUGAAUUUUAUAGGGCCUCUGUAAUUAAGUUCCAGCAUAGAACGAAACUUAAUAUGCGUUCAUGUAUUGUACUGUUUUUGUAACGUAUUCAACACAUUUUUGAUCUCACGUGGCGGAGUCUAUGCGCGUGCGCAAAGCGAAAGUGCACAUGCUAGCACAGGUAACCGCCGUAGCCGAUGGAAGACAGCGAGGCAGAGACGAAGAACUUCACGUCUUCAUGAUCUGGCAGCACAAUUAGAUGUUGAAACACUACAGUAGAAAAGAACUGAUGGAGAAGAAACCUGCUGUGAAGGAUACAGUGGAAAGGUGGCCAGCACUCUUUAUGGAGUGUCAGAUUCUGGCAGAGUUCACUCUUAUAUCUGGCAAAGACCUACAAACCGAAUUAUUUCUAGAACUGGACCGUUGACAUCUCAGAGCCGAAGGGGGAGACAUUGGCUCUAAACUUAAGAAGAUUCUGCAACAGAAUUUCAACAUUCAACAUUGAAAAUAAUAAAUCUGAUAUCAUUGGGAGAUGCAGUUCUUCAUGGCCUUCCACUCCUCCUCGGAGAAGACCCCACUGAUUUUUACAAGACAUGUAUUGACUAUGAUGAUGAAGGCAAUUCAAGCGGCAUAUUGACAUUGAACCCUAAGGACUGUGAAACCAUACCUAACUCGCUGAACCUUGACGCCACAUCCACUGCCAUCUUUUUGGAAGGUACAAGUCUAAUGGAAGAAAUCUUACCCAAGCCAUGUGCCUCCUUUUUGGGCUCUUUAAUGCUCUGAAUUUAGAGUACCCUCCAGUAAUGAAGAACAACUUUGAUUUCAUCCAGGCGGUGAUUUUGUCACUCGGGCACAAGUCUCUGAAACUUAAAAUACUAUCUCUGAAACAUAUUCUAAUGCAGUAACGUCACUUUUCUCCAAUUCUACAUUUAACGUUUUGUGAAGAAGUUACAUUGAUCUUUUGUCUUUCCAGAGUGCAAUACAGUAUGUGCAUUUAUCUCAGAAUUGUUGACUGAUGUAAGAAGGACUUGAAUGAACAUUUUUGUUAAUGUUUUAUAGAAAUAAAUGACUUUGUUGUUGUGCCAACGAUCUGUUGU